CCCCAGACUCCUACGGGAGGCAGCAGUGGGGAAUAUUGCACAAUGGGGGAAACCCUGAUGCAGCAACGCCGCGUGAGUGAAGAAGUCAUUCGUGAUGUAAAGCUCUAUCAGCAGGGAAGAAAAUGACGGUACCUGAGUAAGAAGCCCCGGCUAACUACGUGCCAGCAGCCGCGGUAAUACGUAGGGGGCAAGCGUUAUCCGGAUUUACUGGGUGUAAAGGGAGCGUAGACGGUUCUGCAAGCCAGAUGUGAAAGCCCGGGGCUCAACCCCGGGACUGCAUUUGGAACUGUAAGGCUAGAGUGUCGGAGAGGCAGGCGGAAUUCCUAGUGUAGCGGUGAAAUGCGUAGAUAUUAGGAGGAACACCAGUGGCGAAGGCGGCCUGCUGGACGAUGACUGACGUUGAGGCUCGAAAGCGUGGGGAGCGAACAGGAUUAGAUACCCGCGUAU
Molecule: ribosomal RNA, 447 nt
Filed under: uncultured bacterium
Lineage: Bacteria
Description: bacterial SSU rRNA
Rfam family: Bacterial small subunit ribosomal RNA
Source: RNAcentral